Molecule: ribosomal RNA, 315 nt
Filed under: uncultured eukaryote
Lineage: Eukaryota
Description: partial 18S ribosomal RNA
Rfam family: Eukaryotic small subunit ribosomal RNA
Source: RNAcentral
CCCUUAGACGUUCUGGGCCGCACGCGCGCUACACUGACCAGUGCAACAAGCAUCCGUCCUUGGCCGACAGGCUCGGGCAAUCUUUGAACGCUGGUCGUGAUGGGGAUAGACUUUUGCAACUUUUGGUCUUCAACGAGGAAUUCCUAGUAAACGCAAGUCAUCAACUUGCAUUGAUUACGUCCCUGCCCUUUGUACACACCGCCCGUCGCACCUACCGAUUGAAUGGUCCGGUGAAGCCUCCGGAUUGGCGCGCACCUCGGUGCCGCCGAGAAGUUGGCUAAACCUUACCAUUUAGAGGAAGGUGAAGUCGUAACA